Molecule: ribosomal RNA, 256 nt
Filed under: uncultured bacterium
Lineage: Bacteria
Description: partial 16S ribosomal RNA
Rfam family: Bacterial small subunit ribosomal RNA
Source: RNAcentral
UAAUACGUAGGGGGCAAGCGUUGUCCGGAAUAACUGGGCGUAAAGAGCACGUAGGCGGUGUUAUAAGUCAGAUGUGAAAUAUCCCGGCUCAACCGGGAGGGUGCAUUUGAUACUGUAAGACUAGAGUGCAGGAGAGGAAAGUGGAAUUCCUAGUGUAGCGGUGAAAUGCGUAGAUAUUAGGAGGAACACCAGUGGCGAAGGCGGCUUUCUGGACUGUAACUGACGCUGAGGUGCGAAAGCCAGGGGAGCGAACGGG